GAUGAACGCUGGCGGCGUGCCUAAUACAUGCAAGUCGAGCGAACGGGCGAGAAGCUUGCUUCUCUGAUGUUAGCGGCGGACGGGUGAGUAACACGUGGAUAACCUACCUAUAGACUGGGAUAACUUCGGGAAACCGGAGCUAAUACCGGAUAAUAUUUUGAACCGCAUGGUUCAAAAGUGAAAGACGGUCUUGCUGUCACUUAUAGAUGGAUCCGCGCUGCAUUAGCUAGUUGGUAAGGUAACGGCUUACCAAGGCAACGAUGCAUAGCCGACCUGAGAGGGUGAUCGGCCACACUGGAACUGAGACACGGUCCAGACUCCUACGGGAGGCAGCAGUAGGGAAUCUUCCGCAAUGGGCGAAAGCCUGACGGAGCAACGCCGCGUGAGUGAUGAAGGUCUUCGGAUCGUAAAACUCUGUUAUUAGGGAAGAACAUAUGUGUAAGUAACUGUGCACAUCUUGACGGUACCUAAUCAGAAAGCCACGGCUAACUACGUG
RNAcentral lists this ribosomal RNA (496 nucleotides) under uncultured bacterium. RNAcentral describes it as "partial 16S ribosomal RNA". It matches the Rfam family "Bacterial small subunit ribosomal RNA", at positions 28 to 507 of the family's 1533-position model. The record is from RNAcentral.